RNAcentral lists this ribosomal RNA (301 nucleotides) under uncultured bacterium. Its description in RNAcentral is "partial 16S ribosomal RNA". It matches the Rfam family "Bacterial small subunit ribosomal RNA", at positions 509 to 808 of the family's 1533-position model. The record is from RNAcentral.
CAGCCGCCGCGGUAAUACGUAGGUCCCGAGCGUUGUCCGGAUUUAUUGGGCGUAAAGCGAGCGCAGGCGGUUAGAUAAGUCUGAAGUUAAAGGCCGUGACUUAACCAUAGUACGCUUUGGAAACUGUUUAACUUGAGUGCAAGAGGGGGGAGUGGAAUUCCAUGUGUAGCGGUGAAAUGCGUAGAUAUAUGGAGGAACACCGGUGGCGAAAGCGGCUCUCUGGUCUGUAACUGACGCUGAGGAGCGAAAGCGUGGGGAGCGAACAGGAUUAGAUACCCGCGUAGUCCCUGUCUAUUAUACA